GCAUAUCAAUAAGCGGAGGAAAAGAAACCAACAGGGAUUGCCUUAGUAGCGGCGAGUGAAGCGGCAAUAGCUCAAAUUUGAAAUCUGGCGCCUUCGGUGUCCGAGUUGUAAUUUGAAGAAGGUAUCUUUGGUUUUGGCUCUUGUCUAUGUUCCUUGGAACAGGACGUCAUAGAGGGUGAGAAUCCCGUGCGAUAAGAUGCCCAAUUCCAUGUAAAGUUCCUUCGACGAGUCGAGUUGUUUGGGAAUGCAGCUCUAAGUGGGUGGUAAAUUCCAUCUAAAGCUAAAUAUUGGCGAGAGACCGAUAGCGAACAAGUACAGUGAUGGAAAGAUGAAAAGAACUUUGAAAAGAGAGUGAAAAAGUACGUGAAAUUGUUGAAAGGGAAGGGCUUGAGGUCAGACUCGGUUUACCGGGCCAGCAUCAGUUUGAACGGCAGGAUAAUGGCGUAGGAAUGUGGCUCCACUUCGGUGGAGUGUUAUAGACUGCGUUGAUACUGCCUGUUUAGACUGAGGACUGCGUCUUUGACUAGGAUGCUGGCAUAAUGACCUUAAGCCGCCCGUCUUGAAACACGGACCAAGGAGUCUAACGUCUAUGCGAGUGUUUGGGUGUAAAACCCGUACGCGUAAUGAAAGUGAACGUAGGUGAGAUCCCGCA
This 652-nucleotide ribosomal RNA is filed under the name Yamadazyma takamatsuzukensis. RNAcentral describes it as "LSU rRNA". It matches the Rfam family "Eukaryotic large subunit ribosomal RNA", at positions 38 to 747 of the family's 3401-position model. The record is from RNAcentral. Lineage: Eukaryota; Fungi; Ascomycota; Pichiomycetes; Serinales; Debaryomycetaceae.